Molecule: ribosomal RNA, 298 nt
Filed under: uncultured bacterium
Lineage: Bacteria
Description: partial 16S ribosomal RNA
Rfam family: Bacterial small subunit ribosomal RNA
Source: RNAcentral
GAUCCUGGCUCAGGAUGAACGCUGGCGGCGCGCCUAACACAUGCAAGUCGAACGGCACCCCUCUCCGGAGGGAAGCGAGUGGCGAACGGCUGAGUAACACGUGGAGAACCUGCCCCCCUCCCCCGGGAUAGCCGCCCGAAAGGACGGGUAAUACCGGAUACCCCCGGCGGCCGCCAUGGCGGCCCGGGCCGUAAAGACCCCGACCGGGAGGGGGAGUGGCGUCCGCCGGCCCGACUCAGGUAGGACGGCGGGGUGGACGGCCCGACCCGUCGCCGACCAACGGUAGGCCGGGUUGGAG